Molecule: unclassified non-coding RNA, 345 nt
Filed under: Hevea brasiliensis (rubber tree)
Lineage: Eukaryota; Viridiplantae; Streptophyta; Magnoliopsida; Malpighiales; Euphorbiaceae
Source: RNAcentral
AUACUGGAUUACCAUCUCCCAAAAAUCCUCAAAGGUGUGUGGCAGUGGACCCUGCGUGGCUAUAAACUGAGUAAUGCUUUCAGAUGAAGAAGUCGUGAUGAAGCUUGCAUUUAUAUAUCCCUUGGCAGAUGGUCUAUAAUCCUUGCAUGGAUUAAGAAUAACCCUAUUUUGGUCAAAAGGUACCACAUCCAUAUAGCGGUUCUUGCUUAUGUUGACGCUAUCAAAAGCCACUUUGCAGCUUCUAGCCAUCUGAGAUGGUGUUAUCCUAGUACCCUGCAAAUGAGCGAACUCUUCAGUGAUUCGGUCGGGAGUGCGUAGCUUCUCUCUGAAGAAUUGGAGAGCCUC